UCAUGCUGCUAGCUAACCAUAGGCUAACGUUACCUGCUGUUGAGUGUAGUGUAAAGUCAGGCAACAACAUUUUUGUUCUUAUUCGGUCUCGUUACUACCGUUUACGUCAACACCGGUGCCCUAUUGGCACUGCGUUUCGGGACCAAAUCCUAA
This is a long non-coding RNA of Etheostoma spectabile (orangethroat darter), 153 nucleotides long. RefSeq lists it as uncharacterized. NCBI's taxonomy places the organism in Eukaryota, Metazoa, Chordata, Actinopteri, Perciformes, Percidae. The record is from RefSeq and is a predicted model, not a curated record. The transcript has 3 exons.